Molecule: ribosomal RNA, 473 nt
Filed under: Paenibacillus taohuashanense
Lineage: Bacteria; Bacillati; Bacillota; Bacilli; Caryophanales; Paenibacillaceae
Description: bacterial SSU rRNA
Source: RNAcentral
UCCUUCCGGGGGGGNGGUGCAGUAGGGAAUCUUCCGCAAUGGGCGAAAGCCUGACGGAGCAACGCCGCGUGAGUGAUGAAGGUUUUCGGAUCGUAAAGCUCUGUUGCCAGGGAAGAACGUCCGGUAGAGUAACUGCUACCGGAGUGACGGUACCUGAGAAGAAAGCCCCGGCUAACUACGUGCCAGCAGCCGCGGUAAUACGUAGGGGGCAAGCGUUGUCCGGAAUUAUUGGGCGUAAAGCGCGCGCAGGCGGCUAUUUAAGUCUGGUGUUUAAACCUUGGGCUCAACCUGAGGUCGCACUGGAAACUGGGUGGCUUGAGUACAGAAGAGGAAAGUGGAAUUCCACGUGUAGCGGUGAAAUGCGUAGAGAUGUGGAGGAACACCAGUGGCGAAGGCGACUUUCUGGGCUGUAACUGACGCUGAGGCGCGAAAGCGUGGGGAGCAAACAGGAUUANNCCCNCNCGGGKWRCCAA